AAAAGGAUGAGAAAAGCAGAAUACAAAAGGAAGAGCUUUAAAAGGAAUGUAGCUUUUAAGGGAAGAAAAUAACCACGCCACAUCAGUUCUGUUCUUGAUGGCCGAAGCUGUGCUGUUUGGGUUGAAUGUUACAUUUCAGAAGGCAUCAAGUUGCAAUGGGAAGGUAGCUUUUCUUUUUCUAGAGAAGAGAGUACAAAAUGACUGAAAUUCCUGCAAGGUGAUACACCGGUUCCUGCAAUUUUUCUAGGAGAUAAUAUGUGAGUCAUAUUAUCUCCUAAUUUCCUUCAAGUUUCACACAGGAAGGAGGAGCCUG
Molecule: long non-coding RNA, 313 nt
Filed under: Canis lupus familiaris (dog)
Lineage: Eukaryota; Metazoa; Chordata; Mammalia; Carnivora; Canidae
Description: lncRNA (ENSCAFG00845014363.1)
Source: RNAcentral